CAACCCUUGACUCUCUACAAUUCGCACAAAUCUUUCGCCUUUUACUAAAGAUUUCCGUGGAGAGGGUCAAUCCAUGAGUCUAAUUUUAAUUUUUGGAAUGCCUGGCGCAAGUCAGGCAC
This 119-nucleotide small nuclear RNA is filed under the name Bemisia tabaci. Its description in RNAcentral is "U5 spliceosomal RNA". It matches the Rfam family "U5 spliceosomal RNA". From Rfam's summary of the family: U5 RNA is a component of both types of known spliceosome. The precise function of this molecule is unknown, though it is known that the 5' loop is required for splice site selection and p220 binding, and that both the 3' stem-loop and the Sm site are important for Sm protein binding and cap methylation. The record is from RNAcentral. Lineage: Eukaryota; Metazoa; Arthropoda; Insecta; Hemiptera; Aleyrodidae.